AUUGAACGCUGGCGGCAUGCCUUACACAUGCAAGUCGAACGGCAGCACGGGGCAACCUGGUGGCGAGUGGCGAACGGGUGAGUAAUGCAUCGGAACGUGCCAUUGAGUGGGGGAUAACGUAGCGAAAGUUGCGCUAAUACCGCAUAUUCUGUGAGCAGGAAAGCAGGGGGACCGCAAGGCCUUGCGCUCUUUGAGCGGCCGAUGUCAGAUUAGCUAGUUGGUGAGGUAACGGCUUACCAAGGCGACGAUCUGUAGCGGGUCUGAGAGGAUGAUCCGCCACACUGGAACUGAGACACGGUCCAGACUCCUACGGGAGGCAGCAGUGGGGAAUUUUGGACAAUGGGCGCAAGCCUGAUCCAGCCAUGCCGCGUGAGUGAAGAAGGCCUCGGUUGUAAG
RNAcentral lists this ribosomal RNA (396 nucleotides) under uncultured bacterium. RNAcentral describes it as "bacterial SSU rRNA". It matches the Rfam family "Bacterial small subunit ribosomal RNA", at positions 30 to 429 of the family's 1533-position model. The record is from RNAcentral.